GAUACUCCCGUGCUAGAGUAAUGGAGAGGUAAGUGGAAUUCUCGGUGUAGCAGUGAAAUGCGUAGAUAUCGAGAGGAACAUCAAUGGCGAAGGCAACUUACUGGACAUUCACUGACGCUCAGACACGAAGGCUAGGGUAGCGAAAGGGAUUAGAUACCCCUGUAGUCCUAGCAGUAAACGGUGCUCGCUUGGUGUGGGAGGGUUCGACCCCUUCUGUGCCGGAGCUAACGCGUUAAGCGAGCCGCCUGGGAAGUACGGUCGCAAGACUAAAACUCAAAGAAAUUGACGGGGACCCGCACAAGCGGUGGAGUAUGUGGCUUAAUUCGAUGCAACGCGAAGAACCUUACCUAGGCUUGACAUGCUUGUCGUAUUCUCCCGAAAAGGAGAAGUCGCUUCGGGCGGACAAUGCACAGGUGCUGCAUGGCCGUCGUCAGCUCGUGUCGUGAGAUGUUUGGUUAAGUCCAGCAACGAGCGCAACCCCUGUGAACUGUUGCCAGCGGAUAAUGCCGGGGACUCUGUUCAGACUGCCCAGAUCAACUGGGAGGAAGGUGGGGACGACGUCAGGUCAGUAUGGCCCUUACGCCUAGGGCUGCACACGUACUACAAUGCCCAGCACAAUGAGAACCAAUACCGUGAGGUGGAGGCAAUCUGUAAAACUGGGCCCAGUUCGGAUUGGAGGCUGCAACUCGCCUCCAUGAAGUUGGAAUCGCUAGUAAUGCCGUAUCAGCUACGACGGCGUGAAUACGUUCCCGGGUCUUGUACACACCGCCCGUCACAUCAUGGAAGUCGGUCGCACCCGAAGUAUAUGCGCUAACUCCUCGGAGAAGCAGUAUCCUAAGGUGAGGCUGGUAACUGGGAUGAAGUCGUAACAAGGUAACCAAGGGC
Molecule: ribosomal RNA, 885 nt
Filed under: uncultured bacterium
Lineage: Bacteria
Description: bacterial SSU rRNA
Rfam family: Bacterial small subunit ribosomal RNA
Source: RNAcentral